GGUUAAGCGACUAAGCGUACACGGUGGAUGCCCUGGCAGUCAGAGGCGAUGAAGGACGUGCUAAUCUGCGAUAAGCGUCGGUGAGGUGAUAUGAACCGUUAUAACCGGCGAUUUCCGAAUGGGGAAACCCAGUGUGUUUCGACACACUAUCAUUAACUGAAUCCAUAGGUUAAUGAGGCGAACCGGGGGAACUGAAACAUCUAAGUACCCCGAGGAAAAGAAAUCAACCGAGAUUCCCCCAGUAGCGGCGAGCGAACGGGGAGGAGCCCAGAGCCUGAAUCAGUGUGUGUGUUAGUGGAAGCGUCUGGAAAGGCGCGCGAUACAGGGUGACAGCCCCGUACACAAAAAUGCACAUAUUGUGAGCUCGAUGAGUAGGGCGGGACACGUGGUAUCCUGUCUGAAUAUGGGGGGACCAUCCUCCAAGGCUAAAUACUCCUGACUGACCGAUAGUGAACCAGUACCGUGAGGGAAAGGCGAAAAGAACCCCGGCGAGGGGAGUGAAAAAGAACCUGAAACCGUGUACGUACAAGCAGUGGGAGCCUCUUAAUGGGGUGACUGCGUACCUUUUGUAUAAUGGGUCAGCGACUUAUAUUCUGUAGCAAGGUUAACCGAAUAGGGGAGCCGAAGGGAAACCGAGUCUUAACUGGG
RNAcentral lists this ribosomal RNA (648 nucleotides) under Escherichia coli. RNAcentral describes it as "partial 23S ribosomal RNA". It matches the Rfam family "Bacterial large subunit ribosomal RNA", at positions 1 to 692 of the family's 2925-position model. The record is from RNAcentral. Lineage: Bacteria; Pseudomonadati; Pseudomonadota; Gammaproteobacteria; Enterobacterales; Enterobacteriaceae.